This 200-nucleotide ribosomal RNA is filed under the name uncultured bacterium. Its description in RNAcentral is "partial 16S ribosomal RNA". It matches the Rfam family "Bacterial small subunit ribosomal RNA", at positions 1301 to 1500 of the family's 1533-position model. The record is from RNAcentral.
UAGGCUGCAACCCGCCUACAUGAAGUUGGAAUUGCUAGUAAUCGCAGAUCAGAAUGCUGCGGUGAAUACGUUCCCGGGCCUUGUACACACCGCCCGUCACACCAUGGGAGCCGGUAAUACCCGAAGUCAGUAGUCUAACCGCAAGGGGGACGCUGCCGAAGGUAGGAUUGGCGACUGGGGUGAAGUCGUAACAAGGUAAC